UACGUAGGGUGCAAGCGUUAAUCGGAAUUACUGGGCGUAAAGCGUGCGCAGGCGGUUCUCCAAGUCCGUUGUGAAAGCCCCGGGCUCAACCUGGGAAUGGCAGUGGAAACUAGGGGACUGGAAUCUGGCAGAGGGGGGUGGAAUGCCGCGUGUAGCAGUGAAAUGCGUAGAGAUGCGGCGGAACACCGAUGGCGAAGGCAGCCCCCUGGGCUGAGAUUGACGCUGAGGAACGAAAGCCAGGGGAGCAAACGGG
This 253-nucleotide ribosomal RNA is filed under the name uncultured bacterium. RNAcentral's name for it is "partial 16S ribosomal RNA". It matches the Rfam family "Bacterial small subunit ribosomal RNA", at positions 524 to 776 of the family's 1533-position model. The record is from RNAcentral.